AGAGUUUGAUCAUGGCUCAGAACGAACGCUGGCGGCAGGCUUAAUACAUGCAAGUCGAGGGGCAGCACGAAUAGCAAUAUUUGGUGGCGACCGGCGCACGGGUGCGUAACACGUAUACAACCUACCUAUAACAGGGGGAUAGCCUUUCGAAAGAGAGAUUAAUACCCCGUAAUAAAUUGAGUGGCAUCACUUGAUUUUGAAAGCUACGGCGGUUAUAGAUGGGUAUGCGUCCUAUUAGCUAGUUGGUGAGGUAACGGCUCACCAAGGCGACGAUAGGUAGGGGAUCUGAGAGGACUAACCCCCACACUGGUACUGAGACACGGACCAGACUCCUACGGGAGGCAGCAGUAAGGAAUAUUGGUCAAUGGAGGCAACUCUGAACCAGCCAUGCCGCGUGCAGGAUGACGGCCCUAUGGGUUGUAAACUGCUUUUGUACCAGAGAAAACCUACUCACGUGUGAGUAGCUGAUAGUAUGGUAAGAAUAAGCAUCGGCUAACUUCGUG
RNAcentral lists this ribosomal RNA (503 nucleotides) under uncultured bacterium. RNAcentral's name for it is "bacterial SSU rRNA". It matches the Rfam family "Bacterial small subunit ribosomal RNA", at positions 8 to 507 of the family's 1533-position model. The record is from RNAcentral.